AGAGUUUGAUCCUGGCUCAGGACGAACGCUGGCGGCGUGCUUAACACAUGCAAGUCGAACGAUGAACCACCUUCGGGUGGGGAUUAGUGGCGAACGGGUGAGUAACACGUGGGCAAUCUGCCCUUCACUCUGGGACAAGCCCUGGAAACGGGGUCUAAUACCGGAUACUGACCUGCCAAGGCAUCUUGGCGGGUCGAAAGCUCCGGCGGUGAAGGAUGAGCCCGCGGCCUAUCAGCUUGUUGGUGAGGUAAUGGCUCACCAAGGCGACGACGGGUAGCCGGCCUGAGAGGGCGACCGGCCACACUGGGACUGAGACACGGCCCAGACUCCUACGGGAGGCAGCAGUGGGGAAUAUUGCACAAUGGGCGAAAGCCUGAUGCAGCGACGCCGCGUGAGGGAUGACGGCCUUCGGGUUGUAAACCUCUUUCAGCAGGGAAGAAGCGAAAGUGACGGUACCUGCAGAAGAAGCGCCGGCUAACUACGUGCCAGCAGCCGCGGUAAUACGUAGGGCGCAAGCGUUGUCCGGAAUUAUUGGGCGUAAAGAGCUCGUAGGCGGCUUGUCACGUCGGUUGUGAAAGCCCGGGGCUUAACCCCGGGUCUGCAGUCGAUACGGGCAGGCUAGAGUUCGGUAGGGGAGAUCGGAAUUCCUGGUGUAGCGGUGAAAUGC
Molecule: ribosomal RNA, 667 nt
Filed under: Streptomyces sp. DLS3
Lineage: Bacteria; Bacillati; Actinomycetota; Actinomycetes; Kitasatosporales; Streptomycetaceae
Description: bacterial SSU rRNA
Rfam family: Bacterial small subunit ribosomal RNA
Source: RNAcentral